GGGCUUGUGGUUUAGUGGUAUAAUACUCCCUUAGCAUGGGAGUGGUCCAGGGUUCGAGUAAGUUCGACAGCUCA
Molecule: transfer RNA, 74 nt
Filed under: Ampelomyces quisqualis
Lineage: Eukaryota; Fungi; Ascomycota; Dothideomycetes; Pleosporales; Phaeosphaeriaceae
Description: tRNA-Ala
Source: RNAcentral